This 449-nucleotide ribosomal RNA is filed under the name uncultured bacterium. RNAcentral's name for it is "bacterial SSU rRNA". It matches the Rfam family "Bacterial small subunit ribosomal RNA", at positions 340 to 786 of the family's 1533-position model. The record is from RNAcentral.
UACGGGAGGCAGCAGUGGGGAAUAUUGCACAAUGGGCGCAAGCCUGAUGCAGCCAUGCCGCGUGUAUGAAGAAGGCCUUCGGGUUGUAAAGUACUUUCAGUCGUGAGGAAGGUGUUAAGGUUAAUAACCUUAGCAAUUGACGUUAGCGACAGAAGAAGCACCGGCUAACUCCGUGCCAGCAGCCGCGGUAAUACGGAGGGUGCGAGCGUUAAUCGGAAUUACUGGGCUAAAGGGCACGCAGGCGGUUAAUUAAGUUGGAUGUGAAAUCCCCGGGCUUAACCUGGGAAUGGCAUUCAAGACUGGUUAGCUAGAGUCUUGUAGAGGGGGUAGAAUUCCAUGUGUAGCGGUGAAAUGCGUAGAGAUGUGGAGGAAUACCGGUGCGAAGCGGCCCCUGGACAAGACUGACGCUCAUGUGCGAAAGCGUGGGGAGCAAACAGGGAUUAGAUACC